This 784-nucleotide ribosomal RNA is filed under the name uncultured bacterium. Its description in RNAcentral is "bacterial SSU rRNA". It matches the Rfam family "Bacterial small subunit ribosomal RNA", at positions 1 to 803 of the family's 1533-position model. The record is from RNAcentral.
UUCGCCCUUAGAGUUUGAUCCUGGCUCAGGAUGAACGCUGGCGGCGCGCCUAACACAUGCAAGUCGAACGGCACCCCUCUCCGGAGGGAAGCGAGUGGCGAACGGCUGAGUAACACGUGGAGAACCUGCCCCCUCCCCCGGGAUAGCCGCCCGAAAGGACGGGUAAUACCGGAUACCCCGGGGCGCCGCAUGGCACCCCGGCUAAAGCCCCGACGGGAGGGGAUGGCUCCGCGGCCCAUCAGGUAGACGGCGGGGUGACGGCCCACCGUGCCGACAAUGGGUAGCCGGGUUGAGAGACCGACCGGCCAGAUUGGGACUGAGACACGGCCCAGACUCCUACGGGAGGCAGCAGUGGGGAAUCUUGCGCAAUGGGGGGAACCCUGACGCAGCGACGCCGCGUGCGGGACGGAGGCCUUCGGGUCGUAAACCGCUUUCAGCAGGGAAGAGUCAAGACUGUACCUGCAGAAGAAGCCCCGGCUAACUACGUGCCAGCAGCCGCGGUAAUACGUAGGGGGCGAGCGUUAUCCGGAUUCAUUGGGCGUAAAGCGCGCGUAGGCGGCCCGGCAGGCCGGGGGUCGAAGCGGGGGGCUCAACCCCCCGAAGCCCCCGGAACCUCCGCGGCUUGGGUCCGGUAGGGGAGGGUGGAACACCCGGUGUAGCGGUGGAAUGCGCAGAUAUCGGGUGGAACACCGGUGGCGAAGGCGGCCCUCUGGGCCGAGACCGACGCUGAGGCGCGAAAGCUGGGGGAGCGAACAGGAUUAGAUACCCUGGUAGUCCCAGCCGU